Molecule: ribosomal RNA, 411 nt
Filed under: uncultured beta proteobacterium
Lineage: Bacteria; Pseudomonadati; Pseudomonadota; Betaproteobacteria
Description: bacterial SSU rRNA
Rfam family: Bacterial small subunit ribosomal RNA
Source: RNAcentral
GAGUUUGAUCCUGGCUCAGAUUGAACGCUGGCGGCAUGCUUUACACAUGCAAGUCGAGCGGCAGCGCGGGGGCAACCCUGGCGGCGAGCGGCGAACGGGUGAGUAAUGCAUCGGAACGUGUCCCGUGGUGGGGGAUAACCCAGCGAAAGCUGGGCUAAUACCGCAUAUGCUCUGCGGAGGAAAGUGGGGGACCUGAAAGGGCCUCACGCCAUGGGAGCGGCCGAUGUCCGAUUAGCUUGUUGGUGGGGUAAUGGCUUACCAAGGCGACGAUCGGUAGCUGGUCUGAGAGGAUGAUCAGCCACACUGGGACUGAGACACGGCCCAGACUCCUACGGGAGGCAGCAGUGGGGAAUUUUGGACAAUGGGGGCAACCCUGAUCCAGCCAUGCCGCGUGCGGGAAGAAGGCCUCGG